UACGGGCGUAUGGUGGAUGCCUUGGCAUGCUGAGCCGAUGAAGGACGUGUGAGGCUGCGUUAUGCCUCGGGGAGUUGCCAACAAAGCGUUGAUCCGAGGAUGUCCGAAUGGGGAAACCUGGCCGUGGUUAUGUGCGGUUACCCACUGGUGAAUGCAUAGCUGGUGUGGGGGUUACGCGGGGAAGUGAAACAUCUCAGUACCCGUAGGAGAAGAAAACAAUUGUGAUUCUGCUAGUAGUGGCGAGCGAACGUGGAUGAGGCUAAACCAUGUGCAUGUGAUACCUGGCAGGGGUUGUGUGUGUGGUGUUGUGGGGUUCAACUGUUCCUGGUCUGCCAGCUGGGUGCGCAAUGUCAAUGCUGUUAGCGGAAGUGGUUUGGGAUGACCUGCCGUAGAGGGUGAGAGUCCCGUACGUGAAGGUGGUGUUGGUUGUGUUGUUGGUGUCCCCGAGUAGCAGCGGGCUCGUGGAAUCUGCUGUGAAUCUGCCGGGACCACCCGGUAAGCCUAAAUACUCAAGUUGACCGAUAGCGGAAUAGUACCGUGAGGGAAUGGUGAAAAGUACCCCGGGAGGGGAGUGAAAUAGUACCUGAAACCGUGUGCUUACAAUCCGUCAGAGCCUCUUUUGUGGGGUGAUGGCGUGCCUUUUGAAGAAUGAGCCUGCGAGUCAGCGGCAUGUCGCGAGGUUAACCCGUGUGGGGUAGCCGUAGGGAAACCGAAUCCUAAUGGGGUGUUUAGUGGCAUGUCCUGGACCCGAAGCGGGGUGAUCUACCCAUGGCCAGUGUGAAGCAGCUGUAAGAGGUUGUGGAGGCGCGAACCCACGUAGGUUAAAAACUGCGGGGAUGAGCUGUGGGUAGGGGUGAAAGGCCAAUCAAACUGGGAGAUAGCUCGUACUCCCCGAAAUGCAUUUAGGUGCAGCGUCACGUGUUUCUUCCCGGAGGUAGAGCUACUGGAUGGACGAUGGGCCCUACAAGGUUAC
RNAcentral lists this ribosomal RNA (973 nucleotides) under Aurantiochytrium limacinum. RNAcentral describes it as "partial Bacterial large subunit ribosomal RNA". It matches the Rfam family "Bacterial large subunit ribosomal RNA", at positions 12 to 939 of the family's 2925-position model. Lineage: Eukaryota; Bigyra; Thraustochytrida; Thraustochytriidae. The record is from RNAcentral.